RNAcentral lists this ribosomal RNA (253 nucleotides) under uncultured bacterium. RNAcentral's name for it is "partial 16S ribosomal RNA". It matches the Rfam family "Bacterial small subunit ribosomal RNA", at positions 524 to 776 of the family's 1533-position model. The record is from RNAcentral.
UACAGAGGUCUCGAGCGUUGUUCGGAUUCAUUGGGCGUAAAGGGUGCGUAGGUGGCUAGGUAAGUCGGAUGUGAAAUCCCGGGGCUCAACCCCGGAACUGCAUUCGAUACUGCCUGGCUAGAGUACUGGAGAGGAGAUUGGAAUUUACGGUGUAGCAGUGAAAUGCGUAGAUAUCGUAAGGAAGACCAGUGGCGAAGGCGAAUCUCUGGACAGUUACUGACACUGAGGCUCGAAGGCCAGGGGAGCAAACGGG